UCUAAUAUGGCAGAAUAGUGCAAUAAAUUUAAGCUUUAUAUAUGUGAUAUUUAUAUUACUAUUAGAA
RNAcentral lists this transfer RNA (67 nucleotides) under Dolichoris vasculosae. RNAcentral describes it as "tRNA-Leu". Lineage: Eukaryota; Metazoa; Arthropoda; Insecta; Hymenoptera; Agaonidae. The record is from RNAcentral.